GUUAUGUCUGGCACCAUGAAGAUAAGUUGUAAAGAUCUGAGGAGUUUAUGGACUUCUGAUAAAAAGACAUUCAUCAUUUCAAGCUUGGUUUUUAAAAAGGGAGUUCUUAGUGAAUAUUU
This is a long non-coding RNA of Melanotaenia boesemani (Boeseman's rainbowfish), 119 nucleotides long. RefSeq lists it as uncharacterized. The record is from RefSeq and is a predicted model, not a curated record. Lineage: Eukaryota; Metazoa; Chordata; Actinopteri; Atheriniformes; Melanotaeniidae. The transcript is spliced from 5 exons.